This 300-nucleotide ribosomal RNA is filed under the name uncultured Neomoorella sp. RNAcentral describes it as "uncultured Moorella sp. partial 16S ribosomal RNA". It matches the Rfam family "Bacterial small subunit ribosomal RNA", at positions 496 to 795 of the family's 1533-position model. The record is from RNAcentral. Lineage: Bacteria; Bacillati; Bacillota; Clostridia; Neomoorellales; Neomoorellaceae.
GGUAACUGCGUGCCAGCAGCCGGGGUAAUGGGGGAGGGGCAAGGGUUUGUCGGAUUUGUUGGGCGUAGAGAGCGGUGAGGCGGGCUGGAAGGUCGGCUGUGAAAACGCGAGGCGCAACGUCGAGACGUCGGUUGAAACCACCUGGCGAGAGUCCGGAAGAGGAGGGUGGAAUUCCCGGUGUAGCGGUGAAAUGCGCAGAUAUCGGGAAGAACACCCGUGGCGAAGGCGGCACUCUGGGACGGUACUGACGCUGAGACGCGAAAGCGUGGGGAGCGAACAGGAUUAGAUACCCGAGUAGUC